UGGAGGGAAACCUUGUCUCAAAACAACAUUAUCUUUUGCAGAUAAGUAUGAGUUAAAAACCUGAAUUGCUAUAUAAUCUGAAGAAGUGCAGCUCCUGUUUUUCCUGGAUCUGGAGAGCAACACCACCUGGGAACAGGAAAGGGUUCACAUAGAGGAGACAAGCAGCUCAAAGUGGACAGAGCUGCUGUAGAAAACAACUGAUAAGGACAUUCAGGAAGUGUGUGUGUAUGUGAGUGAGUGAGUGAUAAAGAGAACAUGGUAUAAUGAUGUGUGCAUGACAUGAUUAUGAUGAUGAUGAUGAUGAUGAUGACACUGAGACAGAUUUUUCUUUUGUAUCAAGCUAACCUCAAUUAGGAGUUAAUUAGCUAUGGAAAAAAGCAUGCGUCCUUUUUAAAAAGUAUUUGGGUUCUUUAAUUAUAGCAGCAAUAAUUAGAUUUUUUUUUUUUUAUCUAAAAAAAGUUAGCUGAAGCCUAAAUGUCUCAUUUUUGUUUAGAAUGAAAAGAAACAGCACUGAUUGAACUGUGUGUGUUUAUUAUGUGUGUGGUUGAGAGAGAAUGUGUGAUAUGUGUUUGUGUAUGCACUUUGGGUAUAUUGCGCAUGUGUGUAUUAUAUGUGUAUUGUGUGUGUAUUGUGCAUGUGUAUAAAUUGUGUGUAUUGUAUGUAUAAUG
Hemibagrus wyckioides is the source of this 668-nucleotide long non-coding RNA. RefSeq lists it as uncharacterized. NCBI's taxonomy places the organism in Eukaryota, Metazoa, Chordata, Actinopteri, Siluriformes, Bagridae. The transcript is spliced from 3 exons. The record is from RefSeq and is a predicted model, not a curated record.